CUUACCAGCGAGAAGGCCAUGCGCAGAACCAAAACUGCGAAAGUGGUAAGGCUCCAGAAGAACUUGUAGCACCAUUGCAAGCGGCGAAAGCCUGCACGGGGCAAAGGGUAAACAAAUUUGGACAUUGGCCGGUGGGAAUGGUGCUCCCGCCGGUCUUAU
This 159-nucleotide non-coding RNA is filed under the name unclassified sequences. Its description in RNAcentral is "FuFi-1 RNA". It matches the Rfam family "FuFi-1 RNA". The record is from Rfam by way of RNAcentral.